RNAcentral lists this ribosomal RNA (372 nucleotides) under uncultured prokaryote. RNAcentral describes it as "bacterial SSU rRNA". It matches the Rfam family "Bacterial small subunit ribosomal RNA", at positions 524 to 896 of the family's 1533-position model. The record is from RNAcentral.
GACGAAGGGGGCUAGCGUUGUUCGGAAUUACUGGGCGUAAAGCGAGUGUAGGUGGUUAUCCAAGUUGGAUGUGAAAGCCUUGGGCUUAACCCAAGAAAUGCAUUCAGGACUGGAUGACUAGAGGACCGGAGAGGAUAGUGGAAUUCCCAGUGUAGUGGUGAAAUACGUAGAGAUUGGGAAGAACACCAGUGGCGAAGGCGGCUAUCUGGACGGUUUCUGACACUAAGACUCGAAAGCGUGGGGAGCAAACAGGAUUAGAUACCCUGGUAGUCCACGCCGUAAACGAUGGGUGCUAGACGUUGGCGAGCUUGCUCGUCAGUGUCGCAGCUAACGCGUUAAGCACCCCGCCUGGGGAGUACGGCCGCAAGGUUG